UCUAAAUUAAAGACAUUUCUAGUCAGAAACAAGCAAAAAUGGUGAAUGCAGAGUAUCCGAAGCCCAAGGUACAGACAUUAUGAGAAGUGUCGAAUGAUUUUAAGGAAAGAGUCGUAUUUGAAAAUUCAAGACUCUUUAGUGGAGGUCAAGCAAGUCAAUAUAGGUAGAAUGCUCUACAAAAUUAUGCGAGUGAGGGGAUGUCAAACAAUGGGUCAGGAAAUGCGUUGGUUUUCUGCAAAACAAAAGCUGAUUGCCAUUACAUAAGUCACUUUAGCAUCAUGAGACUGCUGCUUGUUAAAUUUAGAAAUAAACCAAAAAACAAGACACGAAAAAAUAAAAAAAAAACGAUUUAAUGAUGCUCUCUUUACACUGGGAUAAAUAAAAACAAACACAUCACAUCUAAUGUGGACAUGUCAGACGCCUUGUGAAGCACUAAAGGAAAAAUUCAGUUUCGAGCUAUGGCACUUGCCGCAUAGAUGUGGGGGGCCUUGCACUAAUAGUGAUAGUUACCACUGCAUUUAGAAAUUGAAAGCAUUCAUGCAGACAAGGAUGAUUCUUUAUAUUUUUGGCUACCAUUACAAAUGCCUCCACCAAGUGUUACAGUGCUGCACGCAGCCAUACUAAGGAUCUCGCUGCAACACCUACAGGUAAAAAGCAGAAGCAGUCAAAGUGCUGGUGUGUACUGGACACUAUGUUUGAAAACUUUUAGGCAAGAAGAGUGCAAGAAGCAGACAUAACAACUGCAUUUAUUUCCAUAAUUCCCCAUUUGAAUGGCCUUUUCUUUUUGCUGAGACAAUGCCUACGCCUAGCCACAGCAGCUCCCUCAUACAGACUCCGCAAGCCAAGAGGCCGUGGAGGCAAAUGCAGGCAGCCAGCACACCUCGAACAGCCACCUUGGCUGCGGGUGUGUCACCCUAGUCGCCAAGGAAACAUUUGAGGGAAAGCGACAGGCAAUGUGAACAGCCACUUCUCCAUGUAAACGAUACUCUUUCUCUCGGAUGACUCCUACGCCUCACCACGCCAGCAGACUUGUGCACAAAGAUGCCGCGGAGGCACGUGCAGGUCAGAGGCAAGAAGCAGUGGCACUGGUGUCGACAUUCACCCAAUUUCUUUUUCUUAUACUGAGGCAGCCAGCAUACCUCGAACAGCCACCUUGACUCCGGGUGUGUCAGUAGAUUCCUGUUGUACAUAUGCUCAUAAUAAGCUUCAGGAAACUUGAACUUGAUAAUAAACUUGAAGGCAAAUGGGA
This 1249-nucleotide long non-coding RNA is filed under the name Dermacentor andersoni. RNAcentral's name for it is "uncharacterized LOC126535350". The record is from RNAcentral. Lineage: Eukaryota; Metazoa; Arthropoda; Arachnida; Ixodida; Ixodidae.